This 610-nucleotide long non-coding RNA is filed under the name Rattus norvegicus (Norway rat). RNAcentral's name for it is "long non-coding RNA NONRATT029145". The record is from RNAcentral. Lineage: Eukaryota; Metazoa; Chordata; Mammalia; Rodentia; Muridae.
CCAAGGUCUCCAGGUUACCACCUGGAGGGUCUCAAUAUCCAUGAAGUCUUUCUGAGUCUGUGCGUCUGUCCAUCACAUACCAAUGGGAUCAGCAAUAUAUGGAUGGACCCCUGCAAUCAGCUCAAAUGUUCCUUGGACUGACCUGUGUACCUAUGGGAGGCCCCUUCUCCCAUUCCACUGGACCAAGAGGUGGUAAAUGAAUAUUCCCCAAACAGGAAAAUGGUUAGCCUCCUAAAUGGUGGAAUAAAAGACCCAGAUAAGGACCUUACCUGAGAAGCAUAGGGACAGGCCAGCCUGUGGCACUUUUAUGUAUCUACCUGCUGAAUCCAAAGAGAAGGGAACAAACUAUUGUAGAGCCCCUAGAACAGACAAAAACCUGGCAAAAAACCACUAACUUGCUGACCAAUGGACAAGACUAAGUUUCCAGUGUAUGAGUUUCUUCCAGAAGAUCAAAGUAAUACGACUCUUGAGAAGUGAGGCCGGCCUUCCAGUUGGAAAUCUGUCUCACAUCCAGCCUCCUUGACCUGAAGGCAUCACACGUCCGAGGAGCAGGACAAUCUGUCUGAAGCCUUAAGGAUAGAAGAAGGAUUUGGACUUCGAUGCCUUGAGG